GCAGGAGAGAGAAGGGAGCUGACCGGAGCUGCAGGAAGGCAAGUUACAGCUCUCUGCCAGCCCCCAACAGGGCUCAUUACAAGCCCGGCGGUCCUGGUCUGUAUUAUGGCAAUGUAAGUUGCCAAAAUACAUACAUUGACUCGAGUAUAAGUCGAGUGGGGGUUUUUCAGCACAAAAAAUGUGCUGAAAAACUCGACUUAUACUCGAGUAUUUACGGUAUGUGUGUAUAUAUUUAAAUGUAAUAUUUUUAAAAAAUUAAGUAAUUUUAUUAAAGGACCACUAUAGUGCCCUGAGGGUGCCCCCACCCUCAGGGUCCCACUCCCGCCGGGCUGAAUGGAGAGGAAGUGGGUUAAAAACUCACCUUUCUCCAGCACCGGGCUUUCUCGGCGCUUGGAACUCUCCUCCUCCUUUGGCCAUCAUAGACUGAAUGCACAUGUUCCAUAAGAGCCGCGCGUGCAUUCAGCCAGUCCAAAGGAAAGCAUUCUCAAUGCUUUCCUAUGGACACUGGCGUCUUCUCACUGUAAAAAUCACAGUGAGAAGUGCAGAAGCACCUCUAGCGGCUGUCAAUGAGACACACUAGAGGCUGGAUUAACCCUAAAGUAAACAUAGCAGUUUCUCUGAAACUGCUAUGUUUACAGCAGGCAGGGUUAAUCCUAGGUGGACUUGACACCCAGACCACUUUAUUGAGCUGAAGUGGUCUGGUUGCCUAUAGAGGUACUUUAAUUGCGAUUUGAGGGACCUGCCUCACAACCCAGGCCAAAAGUCCAGAGAAUUUAAUUUGCUAGCACUAUAUUCAACCCUGUCACUUUCCAUGAAAUUGUUAUUGAAAGUGAAGGUUUUUUUUUGUUUGUUUGUUUUCAUUCUUCACACAGAACGGCACUUUCACUGAUGAUAUCAUUGUGAUACGUUUUACAACACCAAUAUUUGUGUUAUUUGUGUUCAGCGAACUCUCCUGAGUAUAACCAUUCCCCUUGUGUACAGGUUUUAUAGUGUUUUUGAAAGUUACAGGGUCAAAUAUAAGGCUUGCUUUUCUGUUUUUUUACAUUGAAAUUUGCCGAUUGGUUAUAUUGCCUUUGCGAGCAUAUGGUAGCCCAGGAAUGAGAGUUAGCGCCAUGAUGGCAUACCAUUUGCAAAAGAAGACAACCCAAGGUAUUGCAAAUGGGGGUAUGUUCAGUCUUUUUAGUAGCCACUUAGUCACAAACACUGGCCAAAGUUAGCGUUCAUAAUUUAUUUUGCAUUUUUAACACACAAACAAAUAUAAAUGCUAACUUUGGCCAGAGUUUGUGACUACUGAAAAAGACUGGACUUACCCCAUAUUGAAUACCCUGGGUUGUCUACUUUGAAAAAAUAUGUACAUGUGAGGUGUGAUUCAGAGAUUUAUGACAGAUAAGUGUCACUAUUGAUAAAUUUGUACUUAUAGUCCUAUAAGUUGCUAAAGAAAGCUAAGAACAUAUUUAACAUUUUUAUAAACUCAGGACAAAAUUUAGAAACUAUUUAGAAUGUGUGUUUCUUGGCGGUUGUAGAUGCGUGACAGAUUUUGGGGGGUCAGAGUUAGAAAAAGUGGAUUUUUUUUUUUAAUUUAAUUCUUUUAUCAUAUAUAUGUGGGUACAGUAAAUGAGUAAGAGGAAAAUUACAGCUAAACACCACAGAAAUAUAAAGACAGCCCUGGUCCUUAAUGAUCAGAAAAUUAAAAUUCUGUCUGGUCACUAAGGGGUUAUACAAAUGGUAUUUCAGCCUGAGGUACUGCAACCAGGCUAAUUCAGUAUGGCAGAUUUUUCUAUAUAUUUACAAUUAUACUUAUGACUUAUAAUAUUGUUUGGAUCGACCAUUUAUACUACCUUUAGUAAGUGCAGUAACCAUUGCAAGUAUUUUUCUAUUUCGUAAUUUUCAAUCUUUCCACUUUAACCCCUUAAUGCCGUUAUGGUGUUCCAUGCCAUCCCCAUUUAAAUGGGCUUUAAAGCCGCUGCGGCGGCAUAAAACGCCGUAACAGCUUUCAGCCCCAGGAGGUGAAAUGUACUUACCUCCGCCGCGAUCCUCUUCAGGAGUUGUACUCGUGAGACUUUGCUGAAUCCAAAUAUAUGUGCUUGUUUUGCAGUAAAAGCGAACAGUACUAUGAAGUUUACAGCUAAAAUGUGAGGCGGAACUACAAAUUUAUUUAUUUUAAAUUUCUCAUUUUUUUUAUUUAAAUUUUAUUCAUAAUAAAUUAUGUUUAAUAUAUAAAUAUUUGAUAUGAAAUGAAAGCCCUGUUUCUCCUGAACAAACUGAUAUAUAAGUGUGGGUGCACUUAAUAUGAAAGAGGUGAAUUACGGUUGAACAGACAUUCGGCGCAAAUUCCAGUUUUUGUUUACAUUUUGUUUUGAUCAGAACGUGUACUAUUGACUCCGUCCUGAAGGGAUUAAAGCUUGAUUCAAACAGCCUUAACUUGUUAUUGUUUACAGCUUCUCAGCUAGAUUUUUGUUGUUGUUUUUUUUACACCAAUCUGAACUAUUUUCUUAUUAAUAUAACUUAAUAUUAAUAAUAAAACUUAUUCAUACAAGUCCACUAAAGCUAUGGAAACCUGUAUGUGCAUUUGUGAACAUUAUAAAAUAGUUCCAGAUCAAUUUUACAAAUUUCCAUUUAAGAUAAAAAUGGCUGCUAAAUGCAUGCAUUUAACACUGUACUUUAAAAAAAA
RNAcentral lists this long non-coding RNA (2671 nucleotides) under Pelobates cultripes (western spadefoot toad). The record is from RNAcentral. Lineage: Eukaryota; Metazoa; Chordata; Amphibia; Anura; Pelobatidae.